Non-coding RNA from Oryctolagus cuniculus (rabbit), 7882 nucleotides. Lineage: Eukaryota; Metazoa; Chordata; Mammalia; Lagomorpha; Leporidae. The record is from RefSeq and is a predicted model, not a curated record.
AGGUUGUGGUCAAGAUUGAUUACUUUAUUAUGUAUGAAUUGCCAAAAGGAUAUGGCACAUGAGCCCAGAUGAUGGGCUGCAUCUUGACGGCACCAAGCUGGGGCAGCUUGGGCAUGGGUGCAGCAGCUGGGGCUCUGUGUGCCCCUGCAGGGCUCUCUCCCACAGUCCUCUCAGGCUGCAUGAACGCCCCAAGACCUCCGUUUCCUGAUCCGUGAGAUGGGACUAAAGAAAACCAACUAUUUUGAUGGGACUGCAGUGAGAGCUAAAGGGAUGAGAAUUUCAAUUUGAAUGAGGCCAAAGGUCAGGGAAGCCUCAAGGAGGAGAAGGAAGAAGCAUAAAAGAAAGUCCCCAGGCUCUGGACCUCUGGGUCCCGUUCAUUUCCAGGCCCAGAGCACAGAGGCACUUGGUAGAUGCUUGUGGAAUGAAUGUCCAGAUCUUCAACUACUCUAAUCUAAAACACUCUUUAUGGAAGAUAAGGCCAUCGCUACCGAAGGAAUAAAAUGCUUCCCCAGGUCACAGUGGAGAGACCAGAUCAAUGUCACCCCAGGAUGGAGGUGAAAUCAAGCUGAGUGUGAUGGACAGGGAGCAGACAGGUGCGCUCUGCGGAGCUUCUGUGGGCCAGGCUGUGCCUCAGCUCCCAUGGUGACCUUGGGUACUGUUUGGUACUUGUCAGUUGUUAGGUAAAGCUGUUGGAUGCUAUUUGGGGUUUGUGUAUUAUGCCAUUUAUAUUGAGUUUGGGGAUGUCCUCAAUGCUGCUUUGACUCCAUUAUCCAAUCCUUGUGAAUUAACCAUGGGCUCUCUCUUCCUUUCAGCUCCAUUGCGUUCCUUAUGCUGGUGACGCUUUUGUCUACCUCAUUUGAGCCCUGUUCGGUCUUGGGUUGGAGUCAGGACUGAGCAGUUGCUUUGAGUUGAGGCCAGGUUUGUGGGUCACCAUGUCUGCCUCCACCCCAUGGAAUGUGAGGGUCAGAUGCCAACAACUACAUAAAACAUCACACUUUCAAAACCUGGACUGGAUCCUUGGCUCUUCAACAUUUAAUACCCUAAAAAUAACUCUGGCAGGCAAUCAGACACACACCAACAGAAGACAACAACCACACACAAAAAAAUUAGUAGAUAAAUCAGUGCUCUCAUUGGAAGUCAUCUGGUCCAGCCCUCUGCCUCUUGCAGAUUGUCUCGGGCUCUGUCUCAGAAUGGUAGAAACCUGCUCUCUUUAUCAGGCCUUGUCCACUGUCUCUUCCACCAGUGUCCCCAUGGGCAUGGCAGGGGCAGACACAUUGUUCUGACAGCACAGCCCUUUGGCUUGCCUUUGGGCUGGGAGCUUCCAGCUGGUCUCUCAGAAGCCCCUCGUCUCGCCCUCCCCUCCCUGGCAAAUGUCUCUUUAAUACUUGCCCAUGAUCAGCUUCCUAGAGCACCCAGAGCUUUUAUUUUCUCCCCACGCACAUUAUCUAUUUGUCCAAUUCAUCCCGAAAUAGCCAGGCCCAGCCAUCCCAUAAUACCCAGUUCCUGUGUCACUCAACACCGGCCCGGCAGGAGCUCCGAGCUCUUCUUCCUGUCCCUUUCUCUUCUUUAAUAAGCGCACCCGGGCUUCCGUCAAUGCCUUUCCUCCGGAUUCAUGAGUUUGCUGCUUCUGCAGCAGCGGCAGAUCCUGGCAGAUAAAUCUCCCCUGGAGCUGUCAGCACAGGCAGAGGGGAGCGGCUGAGCCAGCCUGGGGCGGGGGGUGACUGUGGAGAUGCCGGAUUUAUCACCACCCGGUCCCACUGGGUGCCCUCUCCUUGACCUUCAGGGUGACCCAGAGGCCAGUGUUUGGUUUUUGCUGGGAGGGAUCCAGAAGUCAAAGGUGCUCCCCUCCCCAGCCCUCGUCCUUGGUGACAGAUGAAGAGCCCGGCCCAGGGACAUGGGAGGUGAGGGGCCCUUUGGCUCCCCAAGGAAGGUGUGACCGUGCUGCUGGCCUCAUGGAGGACUCACUGCCACUGCCACCGAGGGAAGCAUGCUGAUUUCUAGCUGCCCUCAGGGUCACUCUGGGUUAAUUUUAGCUGCUUCCAUGCCCCCCAGAUGGGCCACACAUUUUUCCUCCUUAACCACGUCCGAGGCUCUCCUCCCGCGCAGCCUCAGCGCCUUCCCAAGCACAAUUGAGACAUGUGCUUAUGACAGUGUUUCCAUGAAGACAGAUCGCUCUCCCUCCAAGGUCAAAGCUCCCGCUGGCCAGGCUCUUCAGCAAACAAUUCGUCAAACAGGGCAGCGGGCAGCAGGCAGGCAGCUCUCAGGCCCCUGGCUGGUGGAUGCAUCAGAAAACCUUUCAGAGCCUUGUUGGGCCCUACAGAACUUCCUCCCUCAUGCUGUCUGUCGGUGCCUCCCCUGCCGCCCCUCCGGCGCCCCCCAGCACAGGGGGAUGAGUUGGCACAAUACCGGGAAUGAUGACAGGGACCCCAGAAGGCAAAACAAAUCGUCCUGCAGAAAUUGGGAGAUUUCUCAGCCAUUGUACAAGGCAAGAAUCAUGGUUCCUCAUGGGGUUUAAAGUGCAGAAGAGGGAAGAUCACAUGCUGUGCCUGUCUGUUUGCUUGUCUGGCUCACAGCACACCCGCAAGGAGCAUCUGAACCCAGCACAGUGGCUGGCACCCAGUGGGCGCUCCUUUAAUGCCUUUAUCCGUUUGUUUACCAACUGCUUAUUACACUCCUGCUAUUACUCUGGCACAUGAGCCCUGUCCUCCUGGAACCCACAGUCUUGGGGACAGGGUCAGACAAUAAGGAAGUAAAAGAAAUAAAUGGGAGUGAAGGGACUGUGGGGAGUGUGACAGAGGUUACUAUGGGGUUCCCAAUGAUUCUGCUUCCUCGUAGGUAGCCUUGCCUUGGUGGAUUGUUCUUCCUGUGGUGUGGAAUGGGGCCAGUGAUCAUUUCUAAAGAACACAACAAGUGAAAUAAGCCAGACACAGAAUGACAAGUGCCAUAUUUUCUCACGCAUGUCCAUAUCAGGUGCACAAGCCCUACCAGAGGUCCAAGUGCUGACAAAUGAGCUGAUGUCUGCAGGCGAGAACCAGCAAGGACUUGAGGCUGGUCGGCAGCCACAUGAAUGAGCUUGGAGAUGACCCCAGCCUUGGCCAGCGCCAAGAGGCCCUAAGCAGAGGACGCAGCUCAGUCCACAUGGAUCCUUGAUCCCAUGGAGACUGUAAGAGGGUGAAUGUUUGUUUGUAAGCAACUCCAUUUGGGGAUAAUUUUUAAGUGCAUGGAUUUGAUUACCAACACAGGUGUCAAAUGGAGUUUUCUGAUGCGAGAUUUACAGAGGAGACCCUGCUUCCUUAAGUGCAGCGGCCAGGAAGGGCCUUCCGAGGGCAACGUGUGUAUGGUGAGGAUUGAAGGACUAGGAGCCCCAUCUCCCAUAAAGGUAGGAUAGCACCCCAGGUGCGGGGAGCAGCCCGUGUGGAUGCUGUCCCGCAGGAAAGGGGACAAGAGUCGAGGCUGGAGAGUCGUACCCAGGCCCCUGCCGGCCCUUUCAUUCUCACUGUCCUCACAUCUCAGCUCAGUGUUGAAAAGCAGGCAGGAGUGUCCCCAUCACAUCACUGAGGCAGAGUGCUGUCAGAUCACCCAGCCGGGGAGGAGCAGGGCUUAGAUUCAAGUGCGGGUUUUCUGAGUCUGGAACCCGUGUGAUUUUUCGCCUCUCAGAAUCAGCCAUUUCCGGGCACAUCUGCUCCCCUGCGCUGAUGCAGCUCACCAUUCGGAGGCAGCGAUGCUGGCCGCUCACGUCCUGGCCGAGGCUUUCCUUAAGUGUUCAUCAUAGAGACUCAGCCAGGCAGCUGGGGCUGGGGAUGGGGUGGGGGCGGAGGAAGGGCUUGUUACUUUGUACCCAUUCAAGACCAGAAAGUGAAGUCUAGCCAGGGUAAGUGACAAGCACAAGGUGUUUUGGGUCCCAGCCAUCCACGCGGGAGACGCCCGGAUGGAGUUCCUGACUCUUGGCAUCCGGCUGUGAGUUCUGCUUGUUGUGGGCAUUUGGGCAAUGGGAGCUCUGUCCAUCUGUCUGUCUGUGUCUCUUGCCUUUUCAAAUAAAAUGGAAGUAAAUAAAUAAGUAUUUUGAAAAACUCGAUUUUUAGGGAUCAUUGUUGCUCAGUUCUUGGCACUUACAUAUACUGCAAAGCUUGCCCAGCUGCUGAAUCUGGGCUCAUUAUUUAUGCCACAUGAAUGUCUUUAACUCCAUGGUUUUCACCAUUGACUUUGUUUCAAUGAGUAGACUUUCUGCUUUAUUGCUCGUAAGAGCUUAAGAAAUGACCAAAACUUGCAGGACUACUUGUAUCUCUCAAUUCAAGCAAUUUACCUUUUAUUGAGCUUCUGAACUUUCACCAUCAUUUUUUAAAAAGAUUUUAUUUAUUUAUUUGACAGGUAGAGUUACAGACAGUGAGAGAGACAGACAGAGAAAGGUCUUCCUUCCUUUGGUUUACUCCCCAAAUGGCCACAAUGGCUGGAGCUGCACCGAUCCGAAGUCAGGAGCCAGGUGCUUCCUCCUGGUCACCCAUGUGGGUGCAGAGGCCCAAGCACUUGGAUCAUCUUCCAUUGCUAUCUCAGGCCAUAGCACAGAGCUGGACUGGAAGAGGAGCAAUCGGGACUAGAACUGGCGUCCAUAUGGGAUGCCAGCGCCGCAGGCGGAGGAUUAAUGCAGUGCACCACGGUGCAGCCCCUACCAUCAUUUUUUUUUUUUUUUAGGAUUUGUCCUAUUUAUUUGAAAGAGUUACACAGAGAGGUAGAACGAGAGAGAGAGAGAGAGAGAGAGAGAGAGAGAGAGAGAGAGAAGCUUUCCUUCUACUGGUUCACUCCCCAGUUGGCUACAAUGGCCAGAGCUGGGCUGAUCUGAAGCCAGGAGCCAGGAGCUUCUUCCAGGUCUCUCACAUGGGAGCAGGGGCCUAAGGACUUGGGCCAUCCUCUGCUACUUUCCCAGGUGCAUUAGUAGGGAGCUGGAUCAGAAGUGGAGCAGCUGGGACUGGAACUGGUGCCCAUAUGGAAAUGCCGGCACUGCAGGCUGGGGCUUUACCUGCUACACCACAGCGCCAGCCCCCUCUCAGCAUCCUUUUACUUUUAAUUUACACAUGGCUUGCACAGAGCUGUCAGAUUUUCUUGUCCCAGUUAGGGGUCACCUGCUGUGCUCUUGCAUGGCACCCCAUUAUCUCCUCCUCAGCUCUUACCACGUGUGUAACUAUACACAGUUGUCUCCCAGAGUCCAUGGGGGAGAUGGGUCUCAGGACCCCUGUAGACGCCUGUGGAUGCCCAGGUCCAUUACACAGUGCAGUAUUUUCGUGGAACCCCCACGCAUCUGCCCCAUACAUCUCCAGAUGACUUCCCUCAAUAUGAAUGCCAUAUAAACAGCUGCUGUGCUGUGUUGUUGACACUGUGUGAUGACAACACAACACUGGUACAUGUUCAGCACAGAUGCAAGUUUCUGGAAUAUGUUUGAGUCAUAGUUGGCUGACUAUGUAAACGCAAGACCCUCAGACACAGAGGGCUAAGUGUGUUAGCUCAGGGGUCAGCUAACUCAGUGUCCAUCUCCCCCACUCAGCUGCAAGUCCUCUGCCGGCAAAGCGAGCCGACUUGGAGCUGACUGUUGGAUCUCUGUCUAGGGAACGGUGGGGACCCAGUGCAUUUUGUUGAAUGAGAAGGACGCAAUCUCACCCAUCACAAAGGUCUGUGUAGAAAAGCCGCUGGACCGUAGGCCAGGGUCAGUUGGGAGGGGUGGGAGCGGCAUCUCACUAGAACAACUCGGAUACAGCAAUAGGCCAGGGUCAGAUGGGAGGGGUGGGAGCGGCAUCUCACUAGAACAACUCGGAUACAGCAAUGGCAAUCACAUAGCAAUGAGUAUUUACUGAGCACUUAUUUUUUUCCAGGUUUUAAGUAUGUUAAUUUGUUUGAAACAAUAGUUUAGACACAGUUAUUUUAAUACAGAUUUUUUUCACAUGUAGAUGAUGAGGUGAAUUGUCCUGGUUUGCUUGAGAUUGUCCAGUUUUUUGUUUUGGAAGCAGGAUGGAGAGAGAGAGAGAGAGAGAGAGAGAUUGAUUGAUUGAUUGAUUUCCCAUCUGCUGGUUCAUUCCCCAAGUGCCUGCAUCAGGCAGGUCUGAGCCAGGCUGAAGUCUGGAACCUGGAACUCAGUCUGGAUCUCCUACAUGGAUGGCAGGGACUGAAGUACCUUAGCUAUUAGCGGCUGCUGUGCAAAGUACAGGAAACUGGAAUCAAAAUUUGAGCUGGGACUUGAAUCAAGCACUGAUAUGGGAUGUGUGUGUCCCCACUAACAUCUUUUGUUUUUUAAAGAUGUAUUUAUUUAUUUGAAAGUCAGAGUUACACAGAGAGAGGAGAGACAGAGAGAGAGAGAGAUUGAGAGAGAGAGAGAGAGAUAUUUCCAUCUGCUGGUUCACUCCCCAAUUGGCCUCAAUGGCCAGAGAUGAGCUGAUCCAAAGCCAGGAGCCAGGUGCCCCUUCCAGGUCUUCCUUGUGGGUGCAGGGGCCCAAGGACUUGGGCCAUCUUCUACUGCUUUCCCAGGACAUACCAGAGAGCUGGAUUGGAAGUGGAGCAGCCAGGGUUUUGUUUUUUUUUUUUUUCAGCCAGGUCUUGAACCGGCACCCAUAUGGGAUGUCAGCACUUCAGGUUAGAGCAUUAACCUGCUGUGCUACAGUGCUUCCACCUCCCCCCCCCCCCAACAACAUCUAAACCACUGCUUCAAAUAUCUGCCUUGGGAUUGUCUAGUCUUUUUUUUUUAAGUUUUUAUUUAUUUAUUUAUUUGAGAGGCAGAGUUACAGACAGAGAGAGGGAGAGACAGAGAGAGAGAGAGAGAGAUCUUCCAUCCACUGGUUCACUUCCCAAAUGGCCGCAAUGGCUAAAGCUGAGCCAAUCCAAAGCCAGGAGCCAGGAGCUUCUUAUAGGUCUCCUACUCAGGUGCAGGGGCCCAGGUACUUGGGCCAUCUUCUACUGCAUUCCCAGGCUGUAGCAAACAGCAAUAUCAGAAGAGGAUCAACCGGGACUCAAACUGGUGCCCAUAUGUGAUGCCGACACCACAGCUCCAGGCCCCAAAUGGUCUAGUUUUAAAACUGAAAGUCUCUAACCUUCCAGAAACCAGCCCUCAGGCUCAGGCCAAGCAGGAUGGUUGGUCAUAGUGGUGCGGGAAAACAGCCUGCGCACUGUAGCAAAAAAGAUGGGAUUUAUAAGAGUGAGGAGAGAGAAGAGCAAGAUAAAAAACAGCAGCAACCUGGGAACAGUGAAUCUUGUCCGCAUCUGGCCGUGUGUGUGGGUUGGGGGCGGUGGGGGUGGCUAAACUGAUGAGUUAGCAACCAGCGAAAGCCAUGCCGCGCCUCCUGUCCUUGAGCAGAACGGAGGGGUGUUGGAGGAGGCAGUUUCAGCUUGUUCUGGUUUCUCCAGGAAACCCCGAGUGGAGCUGUGCACGGGGUGUGUCUCGUGGGCUGGGUCCUCGUAGCAGCGCCCACACCAGGCCUUCACCGUCCCCCUUCUGGGGAUUUCUGAAUGGAGGGUGCUCAGUACUGCGGCUUUGGGAACACAAGCAGGAGCCCUCAGCUCCGAGAUGAAGCAAGAAGAAUCCUCAGGCCGGCACCGCGGCUCACUAGGCUAAUCCUCCACCUAGCGGCGCCGGCACACCGGGUUCUAGUCCCGGUCGGGGCGCCGGAUUCUGUCCCGGUUGCCCCUCUUCCAGGCCAGCUCUCUGCUGUGGCCCGGGAGUGCAGUGGAGGAUGGCCCAAGUGCUUGGGCCCUGCACCCCAUGGGAGACCAGGAGAAGCACCUGGCUCCUGGCUUCAGAUCAGCGCGGUGCGCCGGCCGCAGCGUGCCAGCCGUGGCGGCCAUUGGAGGGUGAACCAACGGCAAAAGGAAGACCUUUCUCUCUGUCUCUCUCUCUCACUGUCCA